This 952-nucleotide ribosomal RNA is filed under the name uncultured bacterium. RNAcentral's name for it is "bacterial SSU rRNA". It matches the Rfam family "Bacterial small subunit ribosomal RNA", at positions 536 to 1501 of the family's 1533-position model. The record is from RNAcentral.
UUGCUUGGUUCGGAUUCCUGGGCGUAAGCGCGUGCAGGUGGCGCGGUAAGUUGGGUGUGAAAUCUCCCGGCUCAACUGGGAGAGGUCAUUCAAUACUACCGUGCUUGAGAGCAGAAGAGGAAGAUGGAAUUCCCGGUGUAGUGGUGAAAUGCGUAGAUAUCGGGAGGAACACCAGUGGCGAAGGCGAUCUUCUGGUCUGUUUCUGACACUCAGACGCGACAGCUAGGGUAGUAAACGGGAUUAGAGACCCCGGUAAUCCUAGCCGUAAACGAUGUGAACUUGGCGUUGGUGGGUUAAACUCCAUCAGUGCCGUAGCAAACGCGAUAAGUUCACCGCCUGGGGACUACGGCCGCAAGGUUAAAACUCAAAGGAAUUGACGGGGGCCCGCACAAGCAGCGGAGCGUGUGGUUUAAUUCGAUGCUACACGAAGAACCUUACCCAGGCUUGACAUACAGGUGGUAGUGAUCCGAAAGGUGACCGACCCGCAAGGGAGCCUGAACAGGUGUUGCAUGGCUGCCGUCAGCUCGUGUCGUGAGAUGUUCGGUUAAGUCCGCUAACGAGCGCAACCCUCGCUGCGUGUUAUACGUGUCACGCAGGACCGCCGGUAUUAAGCCGGAGGAAGGUGGGGAUGACGUCAAGUCAGCAUGGCCUUUAUGCCUGGGGCUACACACACGCUACAAUGGCCAGUACAAUGGGUUGCUAAACCGCGAGGUGGAGCCAAUCCCCCAAAGCUGGCCUCAGUUCAGAUUGCAGGCUGCAACUCGCCUGCAUGAAGCCGGAGUUGCUAGUAAACGCGCGUCAGCUAUAGUGCGUUGAAUACGUUCUCGGGCCUUGUACACACCGCCCGUCACGUCAUGGGAGCUGGUAACACCUGAAGCCGGUAGCCUAACCGCAAGGAGGGCGCCGUCGAAAGUGGGGCUGGCGAUUGGGACGAAGUCGUAACAAGGUAACC